CKCAKCUCUAGUAUAGCACUUUAUACUGUGAAACUGCGAAUGGCUCAUUAAAUCAGUUAUCGUUUAUUUGAUAKUACCUUACUACAUGGAUACCUGUGGUAAUUCUAGAGCUAAUACAUGCUGAAAACCUCGACUUCGGAAGGGGUGUAUUUAUUAGAUAAAAAACCAAUGCCCUUCGGGGCUCCUUGGUGAAUCAUAAUAACUUAACGAAUCGCAUGGCCUUGCGCCGGCGAUGGUUCAUUCAAAUUUCUGCCCUAUCAACUUUCGAUGGUAGGAUAGUGGCCUACCAUGGUGGCAACGGGUAACGGGGAAUUAGGGUUCGAUUCCGGAGAGGGAGCCUGAGAAACGGCUACCACAUCCAAGGAAGGCAGCAGGCGCGCAAAUUACCCAAUCCCGACACGGGGAGGUAGUGACAAUAAAUACUGAUACGGGGCUCUUUUGGGUCUCGUAAUUGGAAUGAGUACAAUCUAAAUCCCUUAACGAGGAACAAUUGGAGGGCAAGUCUGGUGCCAGCAGCCGCGGUAAUUCCAGCUCCAAUAGCGUAUAUUAAAGUUGUUGCAGUUAAAAAGCUCGUAGUUGAACCUUGGGUCUGGCUGGCCGGUCCGCCUCACCGCGAGUACUGGUCCGGCUGGACCUUUCCUUCUGGGGAAUCUCAUGGCCUUCACUGGCUGUGGGGGGAACCAGGACUUUUACUGUGAAAAAAUUAGAGUGUUCAAAGCAGGCCUUUGCUCGAAUACAUUAGCAUGGAAUAAUAGAAUAGGACGUGCGGUUCUAUUUUGUUGGUUUCUAGGACCGCCGUAAUGAUUAAUAGGGAUAGUCGGGGGCGUCAGUAUUCAGCUGUCAGAGGUGAAAUUCUUGGAUUUGCUGAAGACUAACUACUGCGAAAGCAUUCGCCAAGGAUGUUUUCAUUAAUCAGGGAACGAAAGUUAGGGGAUCGAAGACGAUCAGAUACCGUCGUAGUCUUAACCAUAAACUAUGCCGACUAGGGAUCGGACGGUGUUUCUAUUAUGACCCGUUCGGCACCUUACGAGAAAUCAAAGUUUUUGGGUCUGGGGGGGGAGUAUGGUCGCAGCUGAAACUAAGAAKAUWKUMUAYGYMWGSAGMGAGAGCCCCACGCAC
Molecule: ribosomal RNA, 1119 nt
Filed under: Aspergillus niger
Lineage: Eukaryota; Fungi; Ascomycota; Eurotiomycetes; Eurotiales; Aspergillaceae
Description: SSU rRNA
Source: RNAcentral